This 521-nucleotide ribosomal RNA is filed under the name uncultured Glomus. Its description in RNAcentral is "SSU rRNA". It matches the Rfam family "Eukaryotic small subunit ribosomal RNA", at positions 569 to 1093 of the family's 1831-position model. Lineage: Eukaryota; Fungi; Glomeromycota; Glomeromycetes; Glomerales; Glomeraceae. The record is from RNAcentral.
AGCAGCCGCGGUAAUUCCAGCUCCAAUAGCGUAUAUUAAAGUUGUUGCAGUUAAAAAGCUCGUAGUUGAAUUUCGAGACCGGUUUAUUGGUCGUGCUUUUGUACGUACUGGUAUAAUCGGUUUCUCUCUUCUGACGAACUAUAAUGCCAUUAAUUUGGUGUUAUGGGAAAUCAGGACUGUUACUUUGAAAAAAUUAGAGUGUUUAAAGCAGGCUCACGCUUGAAUACAUUAGCAUGGAAUAACGGAAUAGGACGUUUGAUUCUAUUUUGUUGGUUUCUAGGAUCGACGUAAUGAUUAAUAGGGAUAGUUGGGGGCAUUAGUAUUCAAUUGUCAGAGGUGAAAUUCUUGGAUUUAUUGAAGACUAACUACUGCGAAAGCAUUUGCCAAGGAUGUUUUCAUUAAUCAAGAACGAAAGUUAGGGGAUCGAAGACGAUCAGAUACCGUCGUAGUCUUAACCAUAAACUAUGCCGACUAGGGAUCGGAUGAUGUUAAUUUUUAAUGACUCAUUCGGCACCUUACGG